This 210-nucleotide long non-coding RNA is filed under the name Carica papaya (papaya). RNAcentral describes it as "long non-coding RNA (CPAP_LNC008867)". The record is from RNAcentral. Lineage: Eukaryota; Viridiplantae; Streptophyta; Magnoliopsida; Brassicales; Caricaceae.
AAGAAGAUGCAAUUAUGUUGAAGAACUGUUUAUCAAUAACCAAUGCUUCAGAGGUAAUGAGGACAUAAGAGAACAAGCCAAGGGAUUUUUCCAACAAUUGUAUGGAGAGAAUGCUGGUAGAAGGCCAUAGUUGUUUAAUUUACAUUUCCAGGAGUUGAGAGAUGUUAGCAAAGUUGAUUUUUUUUUUUUUCGAAAUAAAAAGUAUGAAAU